AACUGGGGAACUUGAGUGCAGAAGAGGAGAGUGGAAUUCCACGUGUAGCGGUGAAAUGCGUAGAGAUGUGGAGGAACACCAGUGGCGAAGGCGACUCUCUGGUCUGUAACUGACGCUGAGGCGCGAAGCGUGGGAGCGAACAGGAUUAGAUACCCUGGUAGUCCACGCCUAAACGAUGAGUGCUAAGUGUUAGAGGGUUUCCGCCCUUUAGUGCUGCAGCAAACGCAUUAAGCACUCCGCCUGGGGAGUACGGUCGCA
RNAcentral lists this ribosomal RNA (258 nucleotides) under Bacillus licheniformis. RNAcentral describes it as "partial 16S ribosomal RNA". It matches the Rfam family "Bacterial small subunit ribosomal RNA", at positions 631 to 890 of the family's 1533-position model. Lineage: Bacteria; Bacillati; Bacillota; Bacilli; Caryophanales; Bacillaceae. The record is from RNAcentral.